CCUACGGGGGGCAGCAGUGAGGAAUAUUGGUCAAUGGGCGCGAGCCUGAACCAGCCAAGUAGCGUGAAGGAUGACUGCCCUACGGGUUGUAAACUUCUUUUAUAAAGGAGUAAAGUGAGGCACGUGUGCCUUUUUGUAUGUACUUUAUGAAUAAGGAUCGGCUAAAUCCGUGCCAGCAGCCGCGGUAAUACGGAGGAACCGAGCGUUAACCGGAUUUAUUGGGUUUAAAGGGGGCGUAGGUGGGGUGUUAAGUCAGUUGUGAAAGGUUGCGGCUCAACCGUAAAAUUGCAAUUGAUACUGGCAGUCUUGAGUACAGGUGAGGGAGGCGGAAUUCGUGGUGUAGCGGUGAAAUGCUUAGAUAUCACGAAGAACUCCGAUUGCGAAGGCAGCUUACUAAACUGCCACUGACAUUGAGGCUCGAAAGUGUGGGUAUCAAACAGGAUUAGAUACCCUUGUAGUC
This 460-nucleotide ribosomal RNA is filed under the name uncultured bacterium. RNAcentral's name for it is "partial 16S ribosomal RNA". It matches the Rfam family "Bacterial small subunit ribosomal RNA", at positions 338 to 795 of the family's 1533-position model. The record is from RNAcentral.